This 88-nucleotide transfer RNA is filed under the name Methylotuvimicrobium buryatense. RNAcentral describes it as "Methylomicrobium buryatense tRNA-Ser". It matches the Rfam family "tRNA". From Rfam's summary of the family: Transfer RNA (tRNA) molecules are approximately 80 nucleotides in length. The record is from RNAcentral. Lineage: Bacteria; Pseudomonadati; Pseudomonadota; Gammaproteobacteria; Methylococcales; Methylococcaceae. RNAcentral also lists the same sequence under 16 other names.
GGAGAGAUGGCCGAGUGGUCGAAGGCGCACGCCUGGAAAGUGUGUAUACGGCAACGUAUCGAGGGUUCGAAUCCCUCUCUCUCCGCCA